RNAcentral lists this transfer RNA (86 nucleotides) under Sphingomonas sp. RNAcentral describes it as "tRNA-Leu". It matches the Rfam family "tRNA". From Rfam's summary of the family: Transfer RNA (tRNA) molecules are approximately 80 nucleotides in length. Lineage: Bacteria; Pseudomonadati; Pseudomonadota; Alphaproteobacteria; Sphingomonadales; Sphingomonadaceae. RNAcentral also lists the same sequence under 13 other names. The record is from RNAcentral.
GCGGACGUGGCGAAAUUGGUAGACGCACGGGACUUAAAAUCCCUCGCCCUCAGGGUGUGCGGGUUCGAGUCCCGCCGUCCGCACCA